UGGGGAAUAUUGGGCAAUGGGCGCAAGCCUGACCCAGCAACGCCGCGUGAAGGAAGAAGGCUUUCGGGUUGUAAACUUCUUUUCUUAGGGACGAAGCAAGUGACGGUACCUAAGGAAUAAGCCACGGCUAAAUACGUGCCAGCAGCCGCGGUAAUACGUAUGGAGCAAGCGUUAUCCGGAUUUACUGGGUGUAAAGGGAGUGUAGGCGGCUUUGCAAGUCAGAUGUGAAAGCCCGGGGCUCAACCCCGGGACUGCAUUUGAAACUGUGAAGCUGGAGUGUCGGAGAGGUAAGUGGAAUUCCUAGUGUAGCGGUGAAAUGCGUAGAUAUUAGGAAGAACACCAGUGGCGAAGGCGGCUUACUGGACGAUUACUGACGCUGAGGCUCGAAAGCGUGGGGAGCAAACAGGAUUAGAUACCCUGGUAGU
RNAcentral lists this ribosomal RNA (425 nucleotides) under uncultured Oscillospiraceae bacterium. Its description in RNAcentral is "bacterial SSU rRNA". It matches the Rfam family "Bacterial small subunit ribosomal RNA", at positions 355 to 794 of the family's 1533-position model. Lineage: Bacteria; Bacillati; Bacillota; Clostridia; Eubacteriales; Oscillospiraceae. The record is from RNAcentral.